AGGAGUUUAAAUAAUUAAUUAAUCUAAAGCAAGAUUAAUUAUAUGUUUUAGAGGUAAAUUGUUCAAUUCAUUAAGAAUAGAGUUGACUAAAGAGAAUCUGUUUGAAGUUAGUGACAGUUGAAGGGAAUAAUGUUUAAUUUGCAGGUGAUAAAAAUCUAUUUAUAGGAUUUCAUAAGCCUACUCCUGAAAAAUGAUAUGCCAUCUAAAUACAGCCUAUACAUUCUUAAUUGUUGCCGAUAGCCUUAGAGAAUGUUAACCGUGGCCAACUAAUUUACCAAUUCAUGCCUUCAUCUAGUCAGCCUCCCCUCAUCGCCACUACCCACCCGCACGCCGACAACCACAGGCGCGCGCGCGCACACGCAAACACACGCACACUCAGACACGCUCACAAACACACGCUCAGUUGAACAGCCACGCUCGAGCACCAACUACCAUGGGACACUGCAGGGAAGGGAACCACUAGCAGGUUGGCUGAGGAAGCCAUGCGGCCAGCUCCGUGGCACUUUUGGACUGUCGUGUGAAUCAAGCGAGUCGUUGUGGUGCGGUCCGGUGACCGCUCAGUCGGCCUUCAUAGCGGGUCCGAACGAAUCCUUCCGCCUGCAGGGAUAGUGUAGGCCAGUGCGCCCAUGUAGCAGUUCUACCAGCGUGGCAGUAGACACCGAUGAAAGACCCCGUACAGCCAGCAGUACUGCAUGUGGUUGUAUCAUGACGUGACACUGUAUCGACCCGCACUAGAGCUGUUGUAGUCAGGACUGGGGUCCAGUGGACAGAGAACAGGUGGUGGAGGCCUGGCAUAGAGGGAAAGUUGCCACUCCCUCUGCAGGAUGAACACAGACAGGCCAAAACGCAAAAUCAUUCGGAAGAGAUAUGACGUCAGCGACGGGAUGCCGUGGUGCGAGGAGCGCAUGGUCCAGAAGGUUCUCUUCCUGUCCCUGAAGGAGUUCAGGGACGCCAGGCGCCCAAGCACCCAGGGGCCACACCGACCGAGGCCCGGGGCCGCGGCACAGGAUCAGCAGAGGACACCGCGGCCGAAGCCAGGAUCGCACGCACGCACAAAAAACAAGGCACCUGUCUCCCAAGAUGGGCCAAAACCAAAGCAGGGUCGCUGGCAAACACACGCGCUGGAAAACCCCGAGGAGGAGCUAGCACUGCCACAGAUUGCCCCGGACACCUGUUCGCCCCAAGGCAAACGCCACGGCCUUCAAACCGCACAGAUGCUCGUCGAGGUCCUGCCAGCAGCCAAGCUCGCACGUCGAAGACCAGCGACAGGCGCGCCACAGAACAGCCACUCGCUAGCGGGCGUUGCCGUCGCUCAGCCCAGAACACUGCGCUCACACAGAGCACAGAGCCUUCUCGCGUUCUUGAACACGUCCAAGCCACAGCGCGCGGCUCCGCCGACCCCGCAGGACACCCGCCCGAAAUGCGAGGAAGGGCUGAACGGCACUCGUGUCGCGCAAAGCACGUCCACGCAGACGGUCCCCACCAGGAUUCUGAGGUCCCACACACCUACCGCCCGCCUCAAUGGUGCUCCCAGACAGGUUCCAGCUCUGCUAUCCACCAAUGAGAGACAGGGACUGACCCUGCAGGCCUAUCAUCAGCAUCGUCACGGCAACAUGGGUCAUGGUAGAGAUGACCCGGCCAACCAGAGGCCGAAGCUUCAGGCUCAGAGAAAGUUUGCACAUUCUCCUCCCAGUUCUCCAGGACCUUUAGUGUCGCCUUCCUCCACACAUAACAACAGCUCUUCCACCUCCAGCUGCCUGACGAGACGCCGUCCCAAAACAGAAGACUUUCUUUCUUUUCUUUGUUUGAGAGGUUCUGUGGCAUUGCCGAACAGCAUGGCCGUCUUAGGUAGUUGCCGGAAAAAGGAAUCCGCUGUCACUUCAUGUCUUCCCAGCAGUCUAGGGCGGCCGACGGAGAAAGGCAGGACUACAGCCUUCAGGAGAAAAGCCCGCCACGGCAUGGCCCCCAGGCCGCUGAGGAGGCUGGGGGUGGCGGCCCUCCUCCUCCGGGGGGCCGGAGACACGGAGGCCGCCGGCAAGCGGAGAUACGGACUGUGUUCCAACGCCGCCGCCGCCGCCGCCUCCUUCGCUCCGAGGAAACUGAGCCUAAGGGAAAGGAAGAUGAGGGAGGGGAAAGGAGAAGGGAAGCCGACGGGGAACGGUGGAAGAGAGAAGAGGGCAGGGGGGAGAGUCGAGGGGAGGAGGAAGAGAGAGCCGGUUCGUGUCCUGCGACCUCGCCAGCUCUCUCUGCAGGUUGCCAUGGUGACUGGGCUCUCUGAUCAACACACUUCCUAUGUACUACAAGCGCCGCCAAUCAAGUCUAAAUCGACCAAUAGCAGCAGACGUUCCGGACCCUAUUCUAGGGAGAGCAAAGCUAGUUUGCCCAGAAGGCCCCAUGUGAGCAUUAAACACCACAUUACCCGUAGAAACCUAAAAACAUACACAAAUCACAGAAUGCCUCAGAACCAGCAUGGCACUUGCAACCACAGAAUUGCCUCUGUUCAUCAUUGCCAACUCAGGAACCUUGCAUGUUCCCAAUCUUCAAGGGAGAACUCUGCCAGGACCCCAGUCAAAACACCAGGCCCGAACAGAAUGCUUUAUGCAAAUCCAGCAGCUAAUAGCUCAGCUAUGAGGCACCCAAACAAACGCGUCAGUGAGCAUUCUGGGGUCGUGAGACUGUCCAGGAGAAUGAGAGGCCUUCCACCAGAUACCGGUCUUAAUCUUUUAAACGCUCUAUUUGCAAUGCCAAGCAACAACUGCAUGAACCUGAGGAACGGCCAGAUACAGCAACACAAAGGCUCCAAGAUGACGUUGCAUGGCAUACAACGCGGCACCGAGGUCCUCCGAGAGAGGCUGGGGUUUGACCCCAAGGCUCCCAAAAGGGAGACGAGGCUCGACCGCGGUGUCGGAGCCCGUGAAGCAGCGGAGGACAGCAUCAGGUGUGCGGAGGACGUGGCGGUGGGAGACACGGUGUCGACGCAGGGGACCGUAGGUAAGAGCGGGGUGGACAGGGACACUGAGGAGAUUGGUAAGGACGGUGACUGUCUUUUCAGCGAGGACGGGAAGGACAUCUGCCAACAGCCGUUAGGAAGAGAUGGACGGGAAGUCAGCGGUCGUCUUGUUGAGGGCGAACAACAGACCCCGGGCUGCGCUAGUCUGGACAGAUUGAGGAGCAGGAAAAUGAUGUGCGAGGCAGAUCACAGGAGCUGCGGCGACACUAGUGAGGUUGUGUUGUGUCAAGGCCACGUCGAUAGCUCCGCAGAAGAGGACAACGGCGAUGUAGCUUCAGUCCCAUCCAAACCAGCACCACCUACAAGGACUGUCACCAGAGCGGCAGUGGCCAAGGCCAAUGCGGCAAAUACAUCGUUAACGUAUACCAGUGUAGAUUCAGGUGAAAGAACAAACUGUUCUGCCAGGGGUGCUAAGCCAAAUCACAACAGCACAAACAAAUUCACAAGUGCAGCCAACUGUCCCUUCGACAAUACCAACCGGGGGACCUCUAAGGAGUCAUUCAAUGCUCUCAGUAAGAACUUAUCAAAGGGCACUGCUCCAAACGGCAGGAAUCCUAACACCACUUCCAAAGGGCCAAUAAAGCCUUCUACCUCUGUCGCUAAGACCAGAACGAGCCCUAGGAACCUGAAGCCGUAG
Molecule: long non-coding RNA, 3647 nt
Organism: Gadus morhua (Atlantic cod)
Lineage: Eukaryota; Metazoa; Chordata; Actinopteri; Gadiformes; Gadidae
Source: Ensembl